GACGAACCGUGCGAACGUUGUUCGGAUUCACUGGGCUUAAAGGGCGCGUAGGCGGACGGUCAAGUCGGGGGUGAAAUCUUUCAGCUUAACUGGAAAAGUGCCUCCGAUACUGAUCGUCUCGAGGGAGGUAGGGGCAUGUGGAACUUCCGGUGGAGCGGUGAAAUGCGUAGAUAUCGGAAGGAACGCCGGUGGCGAAAGCGGGUCUCUGGGCCGGUACCGACGCUGAGGAGCGAAGGCGUGGGGAGCGAACAGG
This 253-nucleotide ribosomal RNA is filed under the name uncultured bacterium. RNAcentral describes it as "partial 16S ribosomal RNA". It matches the Rfam family "Bacterial small subunit ribosomal RNA", at positions 524 to 776 of the family's 1533-position model. The record is from RNAcentral.